GAUGAACGCUGGCGGCGUGCCUAAUACAUGCAAGUCGAGCGAAUGGAUUAAGAGCUUGCUCUUAUGAAGUUAGCGGCGGACGGGUGAGUAACACGUGGGUAACCUGCCCAUAAGACUGGGAUAACUCCGGGAAACCGGGGCUAAUACCGGAUAACAUUUUGAACCGCAUGGUUCGAAAUGGAAAGGCGGCUUCGGCUGUCACUCAUGGAUGGACCCGCGUCGCAGUAGCUAGUGGGUGAGGUAACGGCUCACCAAGGCAACGAUGCGUAGCCGACCUGAGAGGGUGAUCGGCCACACUGGGACUGAGACACGGCCCAGACUCCUACGGGAGGCAGCAGUAGGGAAUCUUCCGCAAUGGACGAAAGUCUGACGGAGCAACGCCGCGUGAGUGAUGAAGGCUUUCGGGUCGUAAAACUCUGUUGUUAGGGAAGAACAAGUGCUAGUUGAAUAAGCUGGCACCUUGACGGUACCUAACCAGAAAGCCACGGCUAACUACGUGCCAGCCGCCGCCGUAA
This 515-nucleotide ribosomal RNA is filed under the name uncultured bacterium. RNAcentral describes it as "partial 16S ribosomal RNA". It matches the Rfam family "Bacterial small subunit ribosomal RNA", at positions 28 to 523 of the family's 1533-position model. The record is from RNAcentral.